Molecule: ribosomal RNA, 459 nt
Filed under: uncultured bacterium
Lineage: Bacteria
Description: partial 16S ribosomal RNA
Rfam family: Bacterial small subunit ribosomal RNA
Source: RNAcentral
CCUACGGGAGGCAGCAGUGAGGAAUAUUGGUCAAUGGGCGGGAGCCUGAACCAGCCAAGCCGCGUGAAGGAAGAAGGCGCCAGGCGUCGUAAACUUCUUUUGUCGGGGAACAAAGGGCGCCACGUGUGGCGUUGUGAGUUUACCCGAAGAAAAAGCAUCGGCUAACUCCGUGCCAGCAGCCGCGGUAAUCCGGGGGAUGGGAGGGUUAUCCGGAUUUAUGGGGUUAAAGGGGUGCGUAGGCGGGCCGGAAAGUCAGCGGGAAAAGCCCGGGGCUAAACCCCGGCGAGCCGUUGAAACUGGCGGACUAGAGACGGCGAGAAGUACGCGGAAUGCGCGGUGUAGCGGUGAAAUGCAUAGAUAUCGCGCAGAACUCCGAUGGCGAAGGCAGCGUACCGGCGCCGGACUGACGCUGAGGCACGAAAGCGUGGGUAUCGAACAGGAUUAGAUACCCUGGUAGUC